AUGACACUCCCAGUUCUAUUUCAGAGGCCUAUGCAUCUGAAGAUGCUGACUACUGGAAGGAAGCGGUUCGUAGAUGCAAAUGGGUAUUCAAGAAGAAGCUUAGGCCUGAUGGUACUAUUGAAAAGUACAAGGCUCGGCUCGUGGCUAAGGGUUAUACCCAAAAGGAAGGUGAAGACUUCUUUGAUACUUACUCACCUGUGUCUUCUCGUUCAUCAAAUGGAUGUUAAGACUGCUUUCCUAAAUGGAGAGUUGGACGAGGAAAUUUAUAUGGAACAACCAGAUGGGUUUGUACUAGAUGGUCAGGAAAGGAAAGUGUGCAAGUUGCUGAAGUCUUUGUAUGGACUCAAGCAAGCACCCAAACAGUGGCAUGAGAAGUUUGAAAAAACUUUAACAGUUGCAGGCUUUGUUGUAAACGAAGCUGACAAAUGUGUGUACUAUCGCUAUGGUGGGGGCGAGGGAGUUAUCCUUUGCUUGUAUGUUGACGACAUACUGAUUUUUGGAACAAGUCUGAAUGUUAUUAAGGAGGUCAAGGAUUUUCUAUCUCGCUAUUUUGAGGUGAAGGAUUUAGGAGUGGUUGAUGUCAUUCUGAACAUCAAGUUGUUGAGAGACGAUGAUGGUGGGACUACAUUGCUUCAAUCUCACUAUGUGGAAAAGAUCUUGAGUCGCUUUGGCUAUAGUGACUGCAAGCCCUCUCCAACACCAUAUGAUGCGAGUGUGUUACUUCGAAAGAAUCGAAGAAUUGCUAGAGAUCAAUUGAAAUAUUCUCAGAUUAUUGGCUCGCUUAUGUACUUAGCCAGUGCUACAAGACCUGACAUCUCUUUUGCUGUUAGCAAACUGAGUCGGUUUGUCUCAAAACCAGGAGAUGUGCAUUGA
This 873-nucleotide ribosomal RNA is filed under the name Triticum aestivum (bread wheat). RNAcentral describes it as "partial small subunit ribosomal RNA". The record is from RNAcentral. Lineage: Eukaryota; Viridiplantae; Streptophyta; Magnoliopsida; Poales; Poaceae.